This 976-nucleotide long non-coding RNA is filed under the name Olea europaea subsp. europaea. The record is from RNAcentral. Lineage: Eukaryota; Viridiplantae; Streptophyta; Magnoliopsida; Lamiales; Oleaceae.
CUUACUCAACCAUUCAUACUGAAAACCUAAUCACUUUCAUCCUCUCCAUUCUCUGUUCUCUCUCAAUCCCAACCUCUCUCAUGUUUCUAGUCGCCUGCGCGCCGCCACAAUCCUUGCUAGCACCACCAAACCAUCGGCACCACUACUGCUGGCAUGUUGAGCGAAGAUGUCGCUCGACACCGUUGCAGUAGCACCGUUGCCGUUGCUGUCGUCGCCAUGCGGUCAUCAAGGUGAUGUCUAGUGAUUUUAGGAUUUGCUUUAGAUUUGAGCACAGUGGGCAUCAUGCAGUGGUGAUGAUGCUGUCGUCGCUAUUCCCAAUCAUGUGUAAUGAUUUUAGUGGUGGGUUUGGCAUCUGAGCGCAACAGUAAUUGCCAUGAUGUGGAGUGAUUUUAGCAGUGGGUUUGGGAUCCAAGCGCAGCAGAUAUCAUAUUUUGGAUCUGAUUUAUGAUGGUUAUGCAAUAAUUUUGCAUUUGGUUUCGUAGUGAUCCUGGAAUGAUUUUUGGGUGGGUUUUGUUGGUUGUGGUGGUGGCGGAAGAGGUGGUGCUGGCUGUGGCGACGACGACGUUGGUUGUAGCAGUAUUGGUGGUGAUCGUGGUCGUGGUGGCUGCGACGGUGAUUGUAAUAAACUUUUUUCUUGGUGUUGGAUCUGCCACGACGAUGUUGUAAUGUUUUCUAAAAUGGGUUGAUUUUUUUGAUGUGGUGGUGUAACUGUCGAGAGAUAGUGGUGGUUUUGGUGAAGGAGGCUGUGAUAGUGCCACUGGAGACAGUGAAAAGAUGGUGGUUACAAGUGUUGGUAGUGGUCACAAAUUAUUUGGUUGAUUGUGAUAAUUAAAUUGGUUAAUCUGUAACCAAUGAAAAAGACAAAUUGUGAUCAAAAAAUAAUAUGUGACCUAAAAAAUUAUUAAUUUGUGAUCGAUAAUUUGAUAAUUCGUGAUUGUAUAAUAAGUUGUGAUUCAUAAUUUUUGUGAUUUGUAAC